UGAGGAAUAUUGGUCAAUGGGCGGGAGCCUGAACCAGCCAAGUCGCGUGAGGGAAGGCGGCCCUAUGGGUUGUAAACCUCUUUUGCCGGGGAGCAAAAGCGCCGCACGUGUGCGGCUUGGAGAGUACCCGGAGAAUAAGCACCGGCUAACUACGUGCCAGCAGCCGCGGUAAUACGUAGGGUGCAAGCGUUAAUCGGAAUUACUGGGCGUAAAGCGUGCGCAGGCGGCUUGAUAAGACAGGUGUGAAAUCCCCGAGUCAACUUGGGAAUAGCACUUGUGACUGUCAGGCUAGAGUAUGUCAGAGGGAGGUGGAAUUCCAAGUGUAGCAGUGAAAUGCGUAGAUAUUUGGGAAGAACACCGAUGGCGAAGGCAGCCUCCUGGGAUAAUACUGACGCUCAUGCACGAAAGCGUGGGGAGCAAACAGGAUUAGAUACC
Molecule: ribosomal RNA, 435 nt
Filed under: uncultured bacterium
Lineage: Bacteria
Description: bacterial SSU rRNA
Rfam family: Bacterial small subunit ribosomal RNA
Source: RNAcentral